This is a long non-coding RNA of Nematolebias whitei (Rio pearlfish), 161 nucleotides long. RefSeq lists it as uncharacterized. The record is from RefSeq and is a predicted model, not a curated record. The transcript is spliced from 3 exons. NCBI's taxonomy places the organism in Eukaryota, Metazoa, Chordata, Actinopteri, Cyprinodontiformes, Rivulidae.
ACAACAACCCCCUUUUUCCGUACAAGGCGACUGUUUUGGUGGACAACAUGGUGUGGGAGACAACUCUGCUGACAAGAGACCCCACAAGUCCCAACAUGCAGGAGGCUGAGCAGACUGAACAGAGAGUCUCCCAUCCUAAGCAAGCACAGAGGCAACUGUGG